RNAcentral lists this ribosomal RNA (253 nucleotides) under uncultured bacterium. Its description in RNAcentral is "partial 16S ribosomal RNA". It matches the Rfam family "Bacterial small subunit ribosomal RNA", at positions 524 to 776 of the family's 1533-position model. The record is from RNAcentral.
UACAGAGGUCUCAAGCGUUGUUCGGAUUCAUUGGGCGUAAAGGGUGUGUAGGUGGCGCCGUAAGUCGGGUGUGAAAUUUCGGAGCUUAACUCCGAAACUGCAUUCGAUACUGCGGUGCUUGAGGACUGGAGAGGAGACUGGAAUUUACGGUGUAGCGGUGAAAUGCGUAGAUAUCGUAAGGAGGACCAGUGGCGAAGGCGGGUCUCUGGACAGUUCCUGACGCUGAGGCACGAAGGUCAGGGGAGCAAACGGG